GGGCCGGUAGAUCAGACUGGUAGAUCGUCUGAUUCGCAUUCAGAAGGUUCGGGGGUUCAAAUCCCCCCCGGUCCACCA
This 78-nucleotide transfer RNA is filed under the name Candidatus Thorarchaeota archaeon. Its description in RNAcentral is "tRNA-Ala". It matches the Rfam family "tRNA". Rfam says of the family: Transfer RNA (tRNA) molecules are approximately 80 nucleotides in length. Lineage: Archaea; Promethearchaeati; Candidatus Thorarchaeota. RNAcentral also lists the same sequence under 2 other names. The record is from RNAcentral.